RNAcentral lists this ribosomal RNA (450 nucleotides) under uncultured bacterium. Its description in RNAcentral is "partial 16S ribosomal RNA". It matches the Rfam family "Bacterial small subunit ribosomal RNA", at positions 338 to 795 of the family's 1533-position model. The record is from RNAcentral.
CCUACGGGGGGCUGCAGUAAGGAAUAUUGGUCAAUGGACGAAAGUCUGAACCAGCCAUCCCGCGUGCAGGAUGAAAGCCCUAUGGGUUGUAAACUGCUUUUAGCAGAGAAGAAAAGCUUUCAUUAAUGAGAGUCUGACGGUAUCUGCAGAAUAAGCACCGGCUAACUCCGUGCCAGCAGCCGCGGUACUACGGAGGGUGCGAGCGUUAUCCGGAUUUACUGGGUUGAAGGCGUACGUAGGCGUCAUUUUUGAAAUCUUGUCGCUUAAAGUUAAAAUUGCCAAGGAUACUGGUACUCUUGAAUUGGGUUGAGGUUAGCGGAAUGUGACAUGUAGCGGUGAAAUGCAUAGAUAUGUCAUGGAACACCAAUUGCGAAGGCAGCUAACUGGGCCUUGAUUGACGCUGAGGCACGAAAGCGUGGGGAGCGAACAGGAUUAGAUACCCUUGUAGUC